RNAcentral lists this ribosomal RNA (268 nucleotides) under uncultured Clostridia bacterium. RNAcentral's name for it is "partial 16S ribosomal RNA". It matches the Rfam family "Bacterial small subunit ribosomal RNA", at positions 76 to 339 of the family's 1533-position model. The record is from RNAcentral. Lineage: Bacteria; Bacillati; Bacillota; Clostridia.
AAGCUUGCUUUUGAAUAUCUUAGCGGCGGACGGGUGAGUAACGUGUGGGCAACCUGCCUCAUACAGAGGGAUAAUCAUGUGAAAACGUGACUAAUACCGCAUGUCAUUUGUUGAAGGCAUCUUCGACAAAGAAAAGGAGCAAUCCGGUAUGAGAUGGACCCGCGUCUGAUUAGCUGGUUGGCGGGGUAACGGCCCACCAAGGCGACGAUCAGUAGCCGACCUGAGAGGGUGACCGGCCACAUUGGGACUGAGACACAGCCCAAACUCC